RNAcentral lists this ribosomal RNA (254 nucleotides) under uncultured bacterium. RNAcentral's name for it is "partial 16S ribosomal RNA". It matches the Rfam family "Bacterial small subunit ribosomal RNA", at positions 524 to 775 of the family's 1533-position model. The record is from RNAcentral.
UACGAAGGGGGCUAGCGUUGUUCGGAAUCACUGGGCGUAAAGCGCACGUAGGCGGACCGUUAAAGUCGGAGGUGAAAGCCUGGGGCUCAACCCCAGAACUGCCUUCGAUACUGGCGGUCUUGAGUAUGGUAGAGGUUGGUGGAACUCCGAGUGUAGAGGUGAAAUUCGUAGAUAUUCGGAAGAACACCAGUGGCGAAGGCGGCCAACUGGACCAUUACUGACGCUGAGGUGGCGAAAGCGUGGGGAGCAACAGG